Phascolarctos cinereus (koala) is the source of this 609-nucleotide non-coding RNA. Lineage: Eukaryota; Metazoa; Chordata; Mammalia; Diprotodontia; Phascolarctidae. The record is from RefSeq and is a predicted model, not a curated record.
UGUGAGGAGUCAGUCUAAAGAGGAUACAAUUUCAUUGUGAUUCUGCAGUCUGUUUCAGCUGCUCUAGAUGGAGAGAGACUGGGUGAGGUGUAACCAUAAAGAACUAAGAGGACUUCUUUCCUGAGAGACUCUUGUCUUGUGAAGAAACAUUAUAAAGAGAAUUGUUGAAUUACUUUUGGCAGUGGAAGAAACUGAGGCUCAGAGAGGAAGUGACCUGUCCAACAAGAAGUAGCAGAUGAGAAAUUUAGUCCCAGGUCUUCUGCCUCCAAAUCCAAGGCUCUUUCUGCUGUAGAAGAUUGUGAAAGCAAACUGCAGGCUGAAUUUGGCACCUACGUCAGAGUUUGCUCACCCUGAUCUAGUUCAUUUCCCUCAUUUUAUAGAAGGGAAAAAUGAGGCCCAGAGGUUAAACAAACCAUAUAAGGUCGAACAGAACUGAGGUUUCGAAGAACAGCAUGAGGACACCAUGAGAUGUGGAAAACCUUAAAGACCUUCAGUACUGGAGUUGUGAAAUGCCUUGGCAAUAUGUGUCCUCUACACAUGUGUCUCACUACUGUUGUAUUCUAAAUUUUAUAUGUAUUUGUGGUCAUAGCUAUUAUCCUUACUAUGUCA